AGAGUUUGAUCCUGGCUCAGAACGAACGCUGGCGGCGUGCCUAACACAUGCAAGUCGAACGUGAUUGGAAGCUUGCUUCCAUGAAAGUGGCGCACGGGUGAGUAACGCGUAGAUAAUCUGCCUGGUGAUCCGGGAUAACACUUCGAAAGGGGUGCUAAUACCUGAUAAGCCCACGGGGUCUUUGGAUUCUGCGGGAAAAGGGGGGGACCUUCGGGCCUUCUGUCACCAGAUGAGUCUGCGUACCAUUAGCUAGUUGGUAGGGUAAAGGCCUACCAAGGCGACGAUGGUUAGCUGGUCUGAGAGGAUGAUCAGCCACACUGGAACUGAGACACGGUCCAGACUCCUACGGGAGGCAGCAGUGGGGAAUUUUGCGCAAUGGGGGAAACCCUGACGCAGCAACGCCGCGUGAGUGAUGAAGGCCCUUGGGUCGUAAAGCUCUGACAGAGGGAAAGAAAUGUGGGUGGCCAAUAUCCAUACCACUUGACGGUACCCUCAAAGGAAGCACCGGCUAACUCCGUGCCAGCAGCCGCGGUAAUACGGGGGGUGCAAGCGUUGUUCGGAUUUAUUGGGCGUAAAGCGCGUGUAGGCGGUUUUGUAAGUCUGAUGUGAAAGCCCCGGGCUCAACCUGGGAAGUGCAUUGGAUACUGUGAGACUUGAAUACGGGAGAGGGCAGUGGAAUUCCUGGUGUAGGAGUGAAAUCCGUAGAUAUCAGGAGGAACACCGGUGGCGAAGGCGGCUGCCUGGACCGAUAUUGACGCUGAGACGCGAAAGCGUGGGUAGCAAACAGGAUUAGAUACCCU
RNAcentral lists this ribosomal RNA (800 nucleotides) under uncultured bacterium. RNAcentral's name for it is "bacterial SSU rRNA". It matches the Rfam family "Bacterial small subunit ribosomal RNA", at positions 8 to 788 of the family's 1533-position model. The record is from RNAcentral.